GGAGCAAGUAGAGUUUAAAGAUUCUCUCUUUUCAUUCGAUGAGGUGCUCUUAUGGUGUGUAGAGGUACCCUAUGAAUACAUCCAUGAAGAAAAAUCAUGAAAAGAAAAAACUUAUUUUUUUGUAAAAUUCUAGAUUCAAAAUUUUAGAUUCGAUUGAUUAUGAUGCAUGAUUAGUUAUUUAGAUAUGAAAAAAGAUUUUCAAAUCUAAAUUAGAACUAUUUUUGUAAUGCAUAUAUGGAUCAAAAU
This 246-nucleotide long non-coding RNA is filed under the name Elaeis guineensis (African oil palm). RNAcentral describes it as "long non-coding RNA (EGUI_LNC013835)". The record is from RNAcentral. Lineage: Eukaryota; Viridiplantae; Streptophyta; Magnoliopsida; Arecales; Arecaceae.